UCCCUGGUGGCUCAGAGGUAAAGAAUCUGCCUGUAAUGCAGGAGAUGCAGGUUCGAUCCCUGGGUUGGGAA
This 71-nucleotide transfer RNA is filed under the name Bos taurus (domestic cattle). It matches the Rfam family "tRNA". Rfam says of the family: Transfer RNA (tRNA) molecules are approximately 80 nucleotides in length. Their secondary structure includes four short double-helical elements and three loops (D, anti-codon, and T loops). Lineage: Eukaryota; Metazoa; Chordata; Mammalia; Artiodactyla; Bovidae. The record is from Rfam by way of RNAcentral. RNAcentral also lists the same sequence under 2 other names.